GGUCUCGUAGCUCAACUGGAUAGAGCAGCUGCCUUCUAAGCAGCAGGUUUCAGGUUCGAGUCCUGACGGGAUCA
Molecule: transfer RNA, 74 nt
Filed under: Chitinophagales bacterium
Lineage: Bacteria; Pseudomonadati; Bacteroidota; Chitinophagia; Chitinophagales
Description: tRNA-Arg
Rfam family: tRNA
About the family: Transfer RNA (tRNA) molecules are approximately 80 nucleotides in length.
Source: RNAcentral